AUUGAACGCUGGCGGCAGGCCUAACACAUGCAAGUCGAGCGGUAGAGAGAAGCUUGCUUCUCUUGAGAGCGGCGGACGGGUGAGUAAUGCCUAGGAAUCUGCCUGGUCGUGGGGGCUAACGUUCGGAAACGAACGCUAAUACCGCACACGUCCUACGGGAGAAAGCAGGGGACCUUCGGGCCUUGCGCUAUCAGAUGAGCCUAGGUCGGAUUAGCUAGUUGGUGAGGUAAUGGCUCACCAAGGCGACGAUCCGUAACUGGUCUGAGAGGAUGAUCAGUCACACUGGAACUGAGACACGGUCCAGACUCCUACGGGAGGCAGCAGUGGGGAAUAUUGGACAAUGGGCGAAAGCCUGAUCCAGCCAUGCCGCGUGUGUGAAGAAGGUCUUCGGAUUGUAAAGCACUGUAAGUUGGGAGGAAGGGCAUUAACCUAAUACGUGAGUGUUUUGACGUUACCGACAGAAUAAGCAACGGCUAACUCCGUG
This 484-nucleotide ribosomal RNA is filed under the name uncultured bacterium. RNAcentral describes it as "partial 16S ribosomal RNA". It matches the Rfam family "Bacterial small subunit ribosomal RNA", at positions 30 to 507 of the family's 1533-position model. The record is from RNAcentral.